UAACCAUGUAUUUCGAAUAAAAUUGUUGGUUAGGUGUUGUUUGUAUAUACUUAGAUCUAUUAUGAAUUUUAAAAAUAUGUUGUGUAUAUACAUGUACAUUGUUACUAGUUUCUUUGUCUUCCACCCAAAUCCCUGAGUAUUUUGCUAUUAUUUGGUUACUCUGAUGAAGUCUAUAAGCAUAGACGAAAGCUUAGACCAUUAAUAAAAAGGCACAUCCUACGAA
This is a long non-coding RNA of Diabrotica virgifera virgifera (western corn rootworm), 223 nucleotides long. RefSeq lists it as uncharacterized. Lineage: Eukaryota; Metazoa; Arthropoda; Insecta; Coleoptera; Chrysomelidae. The record is from RefSeq and is a predicted model, not a curated record. The transcript has 2 exons.